AAUGAAAAUGUUGGGUCAUAGGGUAAUUUUAACUUUUUGAGGGACUUCCAGAGUGUUGUCAACAGCAGCUGUGCCAUUUUAUACCCCCACCAGCAAU
This 97-nucleotide microRNA precursor is filed under the name Marmota monax (woodchuck). Lineage: Eukaryota; Metazoa; Chordata; Mammalia; Rodentia; Sciuridae. The record is from RNAcentral.